This 216-nucleotide ribosomal RNA is filed under the name uncultured bacterium. RNAcentral's name for it is "partial 16S ribosomal RNA". It matches the Rfam family "Bacterial small subunit ribosomal RNA", at positions 1287 to 1500 of the family's 1533-position model. The record is from RNAcentral.
CCCAGUUCGGAUUGCAGGCUGCAACCCGCCUGUAUGAAGUUGGAAUCGCUAGUAAUCGCGGAUCAGCAUGCCGCGGUGAAUACGUUCCCGGGCCUUGUACACACCGCCCGUCACACCAUGAGAGUCGGGAACACCCGAAGUCCGUAGCCUAACUUAUCUGAGAGGGCGCGGCCGAAGGUGGGUUCGAUAAUUGGGGUGAAGUCGUAACAAGGUACC